Non-coding RNA from Gymnothorax javanicus (giant moray), 73 nucleotides. The record is from the annotation of a GenBank genome assembly. NCBI's taxonomy places the organism in Eukaryota, Metazoa, Chordata, Actinopteri, Anguilliformes, Muraenidae.
UGGUUCUUGGCACAGUGGAUAGCACUACUGUCUUGCAAUAAGGAGGUUCCGGGUUCGAGCCACGGCUGGCCAG